CAUUUCCUUUCUUCUUCUGGUUCUCGGGCACCGAGGAAAAGCAGACCACGGUGGGGACUGGGGAGAACUGGUCAAAAGAAAAAAGACCUCGCAGGGGUGAGGAGAGCUCUCUGACCUCGCAUGGCGGCGGCGGUGGCGGACCUCGUCUGAUCGUGCUCCAGGAUUCUGUACCUAGACUGCCUUUGGCGGGCUAGAUUGUGGUUACUAUGGUCACUGAGGAAGCAGAAUCAAAUAAGCGCCAAAAGGAGGGAUGCAUCAUAAACUGCCUCCCAAGUGAUCUAAUUGAGCAGGUAUUUUUUAGGCUUCCAGUGAGCACUCUGUUGACGUGCACUGGUGUCUGCAAGCAAUGGAAAAAAUUCAUCCGCGAUCCCCGGUUUAUCACAUCGCACCUCCAGCACGCGCCCCGAUAUGCCCUCCUAUUUUUUCCGCAAGAGUCGAUUUCAUGCAAUCCCUACCCUAGUGAUGCUAUCCUGAUUGAUGAAGCCUGGUCACAUUCGACACAUGCAGUGCCAGUGAUUGGGCCUGAUGAUUUCCUUUUUGGUUCAUGCAAUGGGCUUCUUGGGUUAUACACAAAGAUGUCAACUAUCAAAAUAGCUAACUUUGCUACUGGUCAGUGCCUGCAUCUUGAGAAACCUAUUAAGAACUUGAAAGGUGAUCACUUCUCUCUAUACAGCUUUGGAUUUCACCCAGUGACAAAACAAUAUAAGGUUGCACAUUUCCUUGGUGAUUCCAUUGAGGGUCACAGCCAAAAUAACGACAAAUUCAGUAUCAUUCAAGUUUACACGCUUGGUGAUGAGAGCUGGAAAGAUAUUAGAACUCCAGAAGCUCUAAGCUUGAAAUGUGUGAGAAAUUCUGGAGUGGUCAAUCUUGAUGGAACAAUAUAUUGGCUGACUGAAGAUAUUAUAGCUAGCUGGAAGUAUGCUAUUAUGUCCUUCGAUCUCGGUGACGAAAGUUUUAAACGGAUACAACUGCCAGCAACACUCGAAGAUUGUGCACAUGACGGCCCUCCUAUAUACUGGAUCAGAGAGAUAGAUAGGAAGAUUUGCUUAGUAACUAUUCAAUCCAGUCAUUAUUUGACCAGAAGGCUUCAUGGUAACCUGCUGAUCUGGACACUUGACGACAAGAUGGGGCAAAGGUGGAGUCAGAAAUACAAUAUUCAAUACUCACCGUCACCAGAUUACAUUCUGGGUCCAAAUUUGGUUCACAGGGAUAAGAUCAUGUUGCAACACCGUGACUGUAAACUAUAUUCAUAUGAGUUGCUCGGGGACGACUCUGAGACUAAAAUGUGUAAGGUGACGAAGCUGUUAGAUUUCAGGCCCCACAAGCCAGAAAACAUGAAGUCCUACAUCUGUGUGAAAUCAUUGGUAUCCUUAGAUGAAUACAAGAAGGCUGGCAUUGUGCGUAUACCAAGACAGCGGGAGGGCUGGAAAUUGAAAAGGUGGGAGGCGUGGGAGCACAAGCUUCGCAACAAGGAGGAAAUGUGGAACAAUAUUUAUGAACUGGAGCAUGGGAGAAUGGAAUUUUCACAAACUAUGGCUCUGAGAUUGAAGCUGCUGCUGCCACGAAUACCGGAUGAGGUGACUCGUCAGCAAACAUCCUUGAAAAUCAGUCAAAUAAUUCCAUAUUUUCCAGAUCAGCAGGCAAGGUCCCUCCGGCGGCUUAAUUGUGUGGAUCAGAAGCGGGAUUUUGAUGAUUUAGAUGCUCGUAUGGACAAGUAUAAGGAUAUAUGCGAGGCUAUCUCUCAGACAAUGGAUAUCAUCUUCAGUACGCUACAAAGUUGUAUACAGGUUCAGUUUCUCUUAAUAGCCGGCGUGGCAGCAGCGACUUGCCGGUGGCCUUGUUCGUGAUGUCGGCGGCGGUGACCUCCAGGCUGCCUCUGACCACCGAGUAUGAGCGCCUCGAGGAGUUGAGGUUGACGUUGCAUGGUGCUUCACGCUGGCCAACUUUGCCCUCCCGCCCAAGGAGACCGUCGGCGUCGCGAGGCUCGUCGAGCACCACGGCUUCGCAGUCACGCUCGUCACCUUCACCGUCGAGCUCUGCUGGUUUAGAAUUUCUUACGUGGAAUUACUACACCUUCUACCUUGUGGAUCUUCAUUACCCGGGUGUGUUUGGACAUCAGGAAUUCAGGACUAAGGGCCUUUCUUGGGUUGGAAUGGGAAUCUGGGUUUGGGAAAUCGGCUGCUGUUACCUGAUCGCUUCCCCUGCCUCAUUCAGCCAUUUCUCCAAAAAUCUGGAAAGAAAGAUUCAACAAUGAGCUAAGCUCGAAAUCCUCUCCGGUGUAUCAAUUGACAAUUCAGCUAAAGUUUCACAAGCAUCAACACCAAGCAAACGAAGAGUCGAUGGGUACUUCGUGUUCAAAUGCCGGCAUCAUUUCACAGAAUCAUGGUGACAACGAAGAUAUGGAGACUUGAAACUUUAGAGCUUAUGGUGUGCGAUAUGGCAGCUUCAGGUUCUAUGUUGACUUGAUCACGCUGGCAUGCGAGCUAUGCUGGAAGAAGUUACAAGUCCCUGUUUCAGACCCCUUAGUCUGUUCUUUUUCUUUUUCUACUUUCGCAUGGAACUAUUUGUACUGUGGGGCGGUUUCUUUAAUGGAAAUCGGUGAGGUGUGCCCACUGGGUCAUUUUUUUUAGAGCUUAUCAUGACAUUCUUCUUAGCUCGCUCGAGCGAUUGUUUAGGUCUUCCCUGUAAACGACUGAUUUCUGCAGCUCCAUAUGUGUUGUUAUGUUUCUUUUGAAUCUAUAUAUACUUAUGGCAUAUUUUUAGUCCGUGUGAUUUGGUUAACA
Brachypodium distachyon (stiff brome) is the source of this 2783-nucleotide RNA transcript. It is a transcript of the gene named F-box protein CPR1, with no coding region annotated. The transcript has 7 exons. Lineage: Eukaryota; Viridiplantae; Streptophyta; Magnoliopsida; Poales; Poaceae. The record is from RefSeq and is a predicted model, not a curated record.